GUAGGUGGGCAAGCGUUGUCCGGAAUUAUUGGGCGUAAAGCGCGCGCAGGCGGUCCUUUAAGUCUGAUGUGAAAGCCCACGGCUCAACCGUGGAGGGUCAUUGGAAACUGGGGGACUUGAGUACAGAAGAGGAAAGCGGAAUUCCAAGUGUAGCGGUGAAAUGCGUAGAGAUUUGGAGGAACACCAGUGGCGAAGGCGGCUUUCUGGUCUGUAACUGACGCUGAGGCGCGAAAGCGUGGGGAGCAAACAGGAUUAGAUACCCUGGUAGUCCACGCCGUAAACGAUGAGUGCUAAGUGUUAGGGGGUUUCCGCCCCUUAGUGCUGCAGCUAACGCAUUAAGCACUCCGCCUGGGGAGUACGGCCGCAAGGCUG
This 372-nucleotide ribosomal RNA is filed under the name uncultured organism. RNAcentral describes it as "partial 16S ribosomal RNA". It matches the Rfam family "Bacterial small subunit ribosomal RNA", at positions 526 to 896 of the family's 1533-position model. The record is from RNAcentral.